RNAcentral lists this ribosomal RNA (253 nucleotides) under uncultured bacterium. RNAcentral describes it as "partial 16S ribosomal RNA". It matches the Rfam family "Bacterial small subunit ribosomal RNA", at positions 524 to 776 of the family's 1533-position model. The record is from RNAcentral.
GAUGGGGGAUGCAAGUGUUAUCCGGAAUCACUGGGCGUAAAGCGUCUGCAGGUGGUUUCCUAAGUCCACUGUUAAACCUUGAGGCUCAACCUCAAAUCUGCAUUGGAAACUAGGAGACUUGAGUAUAGUAGGGGUAGAGGGAAUUUCCAGUGGAGCGGUGAAAUGCGUAGAUAUUGGAAAGAACACCGAUGGCGAAGGCACUCUACUGGGCUAUUACUGACACUCAGAGACGAAAGCUAGGGGAGCAAAUGGG